Molecule: non-coding RNA, 484 nt
Organism: Arachis ipaensis
Lineage: Eukaryota; Viridiplantae; Streptophyta; Magnoliopsida; Fabales; Fabaceae
Source: RefSeq, a predicted model, not a curated record
UCGUGCAGCAUGCAAAAAAAGAAAGGGGGAAGAGGGUUCUAAACCCUUGGCAUAACUUCAAUCCUCCGUAACUUUCAAUCCGGAGCUCCGAUUGACGAGCCGUUUGCGGCCACGCGUUCGUCUCAGAGUUCUCUUCAAUUCUAUCCAAACAAAAAGAUAUUUCUCUCUCUAAUUCGUGCCCAGAAUUCUGUUUCCCCUUUAUGUACGAAAUUGGCUUGAGCUUUGAGAGAUUUUGAUGAUUUUGGUGGUUUAGGUGCAAUCUAAUAUUGGAUAAUUAUUGGAUUAUACUCCAAUCAUCGAUGGGUAAGGUGUAGAUUAAGCGGAUAUAUAUGCUUCAGAAUUGAAUUGGGAGCACUUGGAGGCUUAUUGGUGAUCAAGGCUUCUUUUGGGGCUGUUUUAAUUGAGCUUAGAGGGCUGUAAUUUGUGUUGUGAGGCUGCCUUGGGUAAAUCUAAGUGAUCGGCCAAGAUGCAGGUCGAGAGGCUC